GAUGAAGAACGCAGCGAAAUGCGAUACGUAAUGUGAAUUGCAGAAUUCAGUGAAUCAUCGAAUCUUUGAACGCAUAUUGCGCUCUUUGGUAUUCCGAAGAGCAUGCUUGUUUGAGUAUCAGUAAACACCUCAAAAGACUUUCAUUUUUGAAAUGAUUUUGGACUUGAGCAAUCCCAACACCAGUCUUCACGGAUCGGCGGAGGGUUGCUUGAAAUGCAGGUGCAGCUGGACAUUCUCCUGAGCUAAAAGCAUAUCUAUUUAGUCCCGUCAAACGGAUUAUUACUUUUGCUGCAGCUAACAUAAAGGGAGUUUGACCAUUUUGGCUGACUGAUGCAGGAUUUCACAAGGGUCGGUAAAACGAUUUUUGUAAAACUCGAUCUCAAAUCAAGUAAGACUACCCGCUGAACUUAAGCAUAUCAAUAAGCGGAGGA
RNAcentral lists this unclassified non-coding RNA (431 nucleotides) under soil metagenome. Its description in RNAcentral is "partial contains 5.8S ribosomal RNA, internal transcribed spacer 2, and large subunit ribosomal RNA". The stretch from base 1 to 120 matches the Rfam family "5.8S ribosomal RNA", at positions 35 to 154 of the family's 154-position model. The record is from RNAcentral.